AAACUGCGUGAAGUAGUGUGAAUUGCAGGACACCUUGAUCAUCGACGUCUCGAACGCAACUUGCGCCCCUUGGCAUUCCGAGGGGCACGCCUGUUUGAGUGUCGUGAAUUCCUCCACUCUGCAAAUUUUUUGUUUGUAGGGCUGGGAUUUUGGGGGCUUGUGGGGUUCUCUUUAAAAGGGGUCCACUCCUCUUGAAUGCAUUAGUGAGGACCUGCAGCAGGCCUUGGUGUGAUAAUUAUCUACUCCUCGGCUUUUUCUGUGCGCUCGCUUCUAAUCGUCUUUGGACAAAUACACCUUGAACUUGACCUCAAAUCAGGCGGGAUUACCCGCUGAACUUAA
RNAcentral lists this unclassified non-coding RNA (339 nucleotides) under uncultured Vararia. Its description in RNAcentral is "sequence contains ITS1". The stretch from base 1 to 104 matches the Rfam family "5.8S ribosomal RNA", at positions 50 to 154 of the family's 154-position model. The record is from RNAcentral. Lineage: Eukaryota; Fungi; Basidiomycota; Agaricomycetes; Russulales; Lachnocladiaceae.